Molecule: ribosomal RNA, 350 nt
Filed under: uncultured Oscillospiraceae bacterium
Lineage: Bacteria; Bacillati; Bacillota; Clostridia; Eubacteriales; Oscillospiraceae
Description: bacterial SSU rRNA
Rfam family: Bacterial small subunit ribosomal RNA
Source: RNAcentral
AGUAGUUUGAUCAGUGGCUCAGGACGACGCUGGCGGCGUGCCUAACACAUGCAAGUCGAACGAAGCUCCCAAAGCAAGACUUCGGUCAAGUAGAGGGAUGACUUAGUGGCGGACGGGUGAGUAACGCGUGAGCAACCUGCCCUUCAGGAGGGGGACAACAGUUGGAAACGACUGCUAAUACCGCAUAACAUAGGGAGAUGGCAUCAUUUCCUUAUCAAAGAAUUAUCGCUGAAGGAUGGGCUCGCGUCUGAUUAGCUAGAUGGUGGGGUAAAGGCCUACCAUGGCGAUGAUCAGUAGCCGGACUGAGAGGUUGAACGGCCACAUUGGGACUGAGAUACGGCCCAGACUCC